Long non-coding RNA from Drosophila virilis, 1159 nucleotides. RefSeq lists it as uncharacterized. The record is from RefSeq and is a predicted model, not a curated record. NCBI's taxonomy places the organism in Eukaryota, Metazoa, Arthropoda, Insecta, Diptera, Drosophilidae.
CUAUGCAAAAGCGAGCCACAAAUCGAUAACGUCAAACAAUCGGAACUUCUAACUCAUAAACCAAAUAAGCAGCUGUAACAACGAUGAACAUGUAAACAACAAAGAUCGGGCCCUGGUCCGGACCCAGCGUACCCGCCCAACCAUGAGACAAUCACCUACUCGUCUCCCACAUUUUGCCAUUAGAUGGCCAUCAGCCUGUGCCGGCUGUUAUGCCAACUCUCCCCAUCAAAGAAAAUUUAGCCGGGCAUUUCUCUCUUCAGAUACGGCAUAUAAUUGGUUGCAUUUCUUAUCGUUAUUAACAUUUAAUCUUAUUUCUUAUUCCCCUGCAGGUUAUCUUCAAGCUGUUAUUUAUAAUUUCGUGCUCGGCAACAUUUCCGGCAUUUUUAACCAGAAUACAUUUUUUUGUUGGCGACCUUCAUACAAUACCGGAAACCAAUAAAAAAACGGCCAGAAGUUAUUGCCAGUCAACAAAGGAAAGGAAAACAAGGGGAGAAAUAUAAACACAGACGCAAUAAUUUUGGGCCCUUUCAUUCCCGGGAGCACAAUGGAAAGUCUGCGUCUGACUCUGCCGUUUACUCAGGUGAGGAGGCACGAAAUGGAACAGACUCACUCGGAUGAUAUGGGCGUGGUCUCGCCCGUGGCCGCCGCAAAAAAUAAAUAUCCAACUUCAAAAAUUCUUAACUGCAAGCCGGUACGUCCGCUGUGAACCGCUGACAAAGUCGAAUUCUCCGUACAUUUGGGCAGCAACAUCAUCGGUGUAUACAUUGGCGAGGCGGGCACCGUUGCUACCCAUCUGCACAGCUGCAUUUUUUUGGGUCAAUGGCCCAAAUGACGGUCAAGGGCAUAUCCAAGGGCAUGCGAUCCAUUUUCCUCAUAUUUUAUUAAGAGUGAACCGGGCGGCCAAUAGCAAUCGUGGCGCCGUGGAUCGCAAGUCUGGCGUUGCCACCCUUCAAAAAAUCGGCAUGGCCGAUAAUAUCGCACGCAACCAACUAAGUAAACCCUCGGUGCUGCGGAUAACGUCAAAUGCAAUAACUGACAAAUUUGUAUAUAUGUUUCGAAAAUGUUUCCCACAUGAUCUUGAUAAAUGUGCUCUAUAUUAAGUUGGUCUUGAUUGAAUAUUAUUAUUAAAUUGACAAUAUCGCGCACAAGAUGUUUAAAA